This 164-nucleotide ribosomal RNA is filed under the name Levilactobacillus brevis. RNAcentral describes it as "Lactobacillus brevis partial 23S ribosomal RNA". It matches the Rfam family "Bacterial large subunit ribosomal RNA", at positions 1 to 161 of the family's 2925-position model. Lineage: Bacteria; Bacillati; Bacillota; Bacilli; Lactobacillales; Lactobacillaceae. The record is from RNAcentral.
UUAGGUUAAGUUAUGAAGGGCGCAUGGUGGAUGCCUUGGUACUAGGAGCCGAUGAAGGACGGGACUAACACCGAUAUGCUUCGGGGAGCUGUACGUAAGCUUUGAUCCGGAGAUUUCCGAAUGGGGAAACCCAAUCAUCUUUACCGAUGAUUACAACUUGAUGA